GCUUGAUUAGUGUAGCGGUAUCAUACAUCCUUCCCAAGGAUGUGACAGGGGUUCGACUCCCCUAUCAAGCA
Molecule: transfer RNA, 71 nt
Organism: Lipomyces starkeyi NRRL Y-11557
Lineage: Eukaryota; Fungi; Ascomycota; Lipomycetes; Lipomycetales; Lipomycetaceae
Rfam family: tRNA
About the family: Transfer RNA (tRNA) molecules are approximately 80 nucleotides in length. Their secondary structure includes four short double-helical elements and three loops (D, anti-codon, and T loops). Further hydrogen bonds mediate the characteristic L-shaped molecular structure. tRNAs have two regions of fundamental functional importance: the anti-codon, which is responsible for specific mRNA codon recognition, and the 3' end, to which the tRNAs corresponding amino acid is attached (by aminoacyl-tRNA synthetases). tRNAs cope with the degeneracy of the genetic code in two manners: having more than one tRNA (with a specific anti-codon) for a particular amino acid; and 'wobble' base-pairing, i.e. permitting non-standard base-pairing at the 3rd anti-codon position.
Source: Rfam